Vidua macroura (Pin-tailed whydah) is the source of this 355-nucleotide long non-coding RNA. RefSeq lists it as uncharacterized. The record is from RefSeq and is a predicted model, not a curated record. NCBI's taxonomy places the organism in Eukaryota, Metazoa, Chordata, Aves, Passeriformes, Viduidae. The transcript has 3 exons.
GCCCGCCUGCAUCCGGCAGGUUUUAGGCAUUUGCAGCAGAGAUCUCCUCUGUGGGCUGGCUUUCACUGCAAGAUCUGAAUGUCUUCUCCUUUCUUUGCUGCUUUUUUGUUUCUAGGACUUUUGGAGAUGUUUGCAGAGCACUUGACAAUGCCACAGGAGGGCAGGUGGCCAUAAAGAAAAUAAAUCUCCAAGGACCGAGGAAGAAGGAACUAAAAGUCAAUGAAUUCAUGCUCAUGAAGACAAAUAAGAAUCCCAACUUGGUCAACUAUUUAGACAGCUACCUUGUGGAUGGGCAGCUCUGGCUGGUCAUGGAGUACAUGGACGGAGGCACUCUGAGCAAUGUCAUCAGCGAGAC